GACAUGUAUGGAAGUUCCAGAGAUGGAUUCGUGCUCGAAAGAGAGUCCAUAACACAGGUGCUGCAUGGCUGUCGUCAGCUCGUGUCGUGAGAUGUUGGGUUAAGUCCCGCAACGAGCGCAACCCUUGUCAUUAGUUGCUACAUUCAGUUGGGCACGUCUAAGUGAGACUGCCGGUGACAAACCGGAGGAAGGUGGGGAUGACGUCAAGUCCUCAUGGCCCUUAUAGGUGGGGCUACACACGUCAUACAAUGGCCGGGUACAAAGGGUCGCAAACCCGCGAGGGGGAGCCAAUCCAUCAAAGCCGGUCGUAGUCCGGAUCGCAGUCUGCAACUCGACUGCGUGAAGUCGGAAUCGCUAGUAAUCGUGGAUCAGCAUGUCACGGUGAAUACGUUCCCGGGUCCUU
Molecule: ribosomal RNA, 403 nt
Filed under: uncultured Hydrogenophaga sp.
Lineage: Bacteria; Pseudomonadati; Pseudomonadota; Betaproteobacteria; Burkholderiales; Comamonadaceae
Description: bacterial SSU rRNA
Rfam family: Bacterial small subunit ribosomal RNA
Source: RNAcentral